UGGACGCAGAAAUCAGAUUCACCCUCCACUGGGGAUUAAGAAACAGUAGAGGUGGAGCCUACUCUGGGCAUUGCGGUUCCUUCUUCCUUCUUCAGAAUGACAGCAGGAGUUGGUGUGAGACAUUUCCUGGAGCCUCACGGAGCUGGCUGGCACAUUUUUGCAGAGAACUCAAAUGAAAGAAUCCACAAGGGAUUGAAGUAAUAUGACAGAUAUGAAAGAGGAUGAAAAACCGUCAGCAGAAUAGCAGCCACUUCCUCAUGUAAUUCCAGAUGGG
Molecule: long non-coding RNA, 274 nt
Filed under: Chinchilla lanigera (long-tailed chinchilla)
Lineage: Eukaryota; Metazoa; Chordata; Mammalia; Rodentia; Chinchillidae
Description: lncRNA (ENSCLAG00000024813.1)
Source: RNAcentral